RNAcentral lists this ribosomal RNA (898 nucleotides) under Acremonium sclerotigenum. RNAcentral describes it as "LSU rRNA". It matches the Rfam family "Eukaryotic large subunit ribosomal RNA", at positions 35 to 966 of the family's 3401-position model. The record is from RNAcentral. Lineage: Eukaryota; Fungi; Ascomycota; Sordariomycetes; Hypocreales; Bionectriaceae.
UAAGCAUAUCAAUAAGCGGAGGAAAAGAAACCAACAGGGAUUGCCCUAGUAACGGCGAGUGAAGCGGCAACAGCUCAAAUUUGAAAUCUGGCCUCACGGUCCGAAUUGUAAUUUGUAGAGGAUGUUUCUGGCGACGUGUCUUCCGAGUUCCCUGGAACGGGACGCCAUAGAGGGUGAGAGCCCCGUCCGGUCGUACACCUAGCCUCUGUGAAACUCCUUCGACGAGUCGAGUAGUUUGGGAAUGCUGCUCUAAAUGGGAGGUAUACGUCUUCUAAAGCUAAAUACCGGCCAGAGACCGAUAGCGCACAAGUAGAGUGAUCGAAAGAUGAAAAGCACUUUGAAAAGAGGGUUAAAUAGUACGUGAAAUUGCUGAAAGGGAAGCGCUUAUGACCAGACUUGGGCUCGGUGAAUCAUCCGGCGUUCUCGCCGGUGCACUUUGCCGUCCCAGGCCAGCAUCAGUUCGCGCCGGGGGAUAAAGGUUUCGGGAAUGUAGCUCCCUCGGGAGUGUUAUAGCCCGUUGCGUAAUACCCUGGCGUGGACUGAGGUCCGCGCUCUGCAAGGAUGCUGGCGUAAUGGUCAUCAGUGACCCGUCUUGAAACACGGACCAAGGAGUCGUCUUCGUAUGCGAGUGUUCGGGUGUCAAACCCCUACGCGUAAUGAAAGUGAACGUAGGAGAGAGCUUCGGCGCAUCUCCGACCGAUCCUGAUGUUCUCGGAUGGAUUUGAGUAAGAGCAUACGGGGCCGGACCCGAAAGAAGGUGAACUAUGCCUGUAUAGGGUGAAGCCAGAGGAAACUCUGGUGGAGGCUCGCAGCGGUUCUGACGUGCAAAUCGAUCGUCAAAUAUGGGCAUGGGGGCGAAAGACUAAUCGAACCUUCUAGUAGCUGGUUUCCGCCGAGU